GGUAAUGCCGGAUGCUCCGACUCCUCGCAUGGGGUGUCGGGAAAGAUUUCAUCGGUAUGGGAUGGGGUCGCGUCCUAUCAGGUAGUCGGCGGGGUAACGGCCCACCGAGCCUACGACGGGUAGCCGGCCUGAGAGGGCGACCGGCCACAUUGGGACUGAGAUACGGCCCAGACUCCUACGGGAGGCAGCAGUGGGGAAUAUUGCACAAUGGGCGCAAGCCUGAUGCAGCGACGCCGCGUGCGGGAUGACGGCCUUCGGGUUGUAAACCGCUUUUGAUCGGGAGCAAGCCUUCGGGUGAGUGUACCUUUCGAAUAAGCACCGGCUAACUACGUGCCAGCAGCCGCGGUAAUACGUAGGGUGCAAGCGUUAUCCGGAAUUAUUGGGCGUAAAGGGCUCGUAGGCGGUUCGUCGCGUCCGGUGUGAAAGUCCAUCGCUUAACGGUGGAUCUGCGCCGGGUACGGGCGGGCUGGAGUGCGGUAGGGGAGACUGGAAUUCCCGGUGUAACGGUGGAAUGUGUAGAUAUCGGAAAAAAAA
This 534-nucleotide ribosomal RNA is filed under the name Bifidobacterium pseudocatenulatum. RNAcentral describes it as "bacterial SSU rRNA". It matches the Rfam family "Bacterial small subunit ribosomal RNA", at positions 162 to 708 of the family's 1533-position model. The record is from RNAcentral. Lineage: Bacteria; Bacillati; Actinomycetota; Actinomycetes; Bifidobacteriales; Bifidobacteriaceae.